This is a long non-coding RNA of Homo sapiens (human), 1524 nucleotides long. RefSeq lists it as uncharacterized. The record is from RefSeq and is a predicted model, not a curated record. Lineage: Eukaryota; Metazoa; Chordata; Mammalia; Primates; Hominidae. The transcript is spliced from 2 exons.
UUUUUUCCUGUCUGACUUUUCAACUAAAGACAGCCAUUCCACUUCCGGUGUCUUGGUCUUAUCACUGUAACUUGAGCUGAGACUUUACUUCCAUGUCUCCCCCCACCCUCAGGAGUCCUCAGGGUUUCCACUAAAGCCCCCUUUCAUUGAGCCUACAAGCCUUGCUGGGAGGCACAGGCAGCGUCCACCCCGAUGAUGUCCUCCCGCCGGCAUCCCGCAGCCUUCGCCUUCCUGGUUCACCUGUCGCUUACCUGUCUCGCUCUCUCACCUCUGCUGGUCAGCAGAUCUGAAUAUCUCUUUGUGAGGAGUCAGAGAAAGGAGAUGAUGCAAAGAGAAGGAAGCAAAAACAAAACUAAAAGAACUUUGAAGGUAUAUGAGAAGAAAAAGCUGAAAAGAAAAUGUCUGCCUCACUCCCUCAAAAAUUCUACCAUAGAGCAAAGGUUGACGUCCAGAAAACCUCAAGUUUAUCAGUCCCAGAUGCUGGCAGUAGAAGCAUAAAGCUGAGGUGAAUUUUCCUUACUAUUUUUUCCCCAGAGUCUAGAACAGUAACUGCCUCCCAAUGUCUAUCACAGGGACCAGAUUUUCUCCACUACAUAGGAUGUGAUAUGUAGGCAGUUAAAUGGCAUUAUAGACACAAUAAGCAAAAUUGAAACAGAGACACCCUGUUGGAUAAAAUAUUUACAUCGGUGUCCUGUUUCCAAACUGUGGGCUGAGACCUAUAAAUGAGUCAUGAAAUCAACCUUUGUGGGUUGCAACCAGCAUUUUCACAAGAAGGGAUUAAGAAACAACUUCAGAAUGUAUCUUGUGUAGUAACAGUGACUACUGUUUUGCAAAAUGUUUGGGUCAGUUGUACACAUGCAUAUUUUACAGGGUGAUGUAAAAAAAAAAUGUUUUUUUUGAGACAGGGUCUCACUUUGUCUCCCAGGCUGAAGUGCAGUGGCACCGUCAUGGCUCACUGCGGCCUCAACCUCCUGGGCUCAAGCAAUCUUCCUGCCUUAGCCUCCUGUAUAUCUGGGACUACAGGUGUGCACCAUCAUGCCCAGCUAUUUAUUUCAUUUUUUUGUAGAGCCAGGGCCUCACUUUGUUACCCAGACUGGUCUCGAACUCCUGGGAUCAAGCAAUCCUCCCACAUCAGCCUCCCAAGGUGCUGGGAUAACAGGCGUGGGCCACCGUGCCUGGCCUGAAAUGUCUUUUUAACUGUAGGCUGGGGUCCGCAACGUUUGAGAAGCACUGAAAUACAGGGCAAUUUAUUCACUGUCCAAGAACAUUACUUCUAUGAUGUCUUCAGAUAAAUUUGAAAAUAUUUGUCUUACCCAAAAUUCCAGUUACAUAUCCAUUUUCAGGAUACUCUCUUCUGAGUGAGAUAAACUCAACACUGGCAGGUAUAGCAAGAAAACAAAAGACUCUGCCAAAUAUUGCUGCAGGGUGAGAACCACCAGCACAAUGUGGAAAUCCAGUGUAGGUAAAGAUUCGCCCCAAAUGUGUGAUCAGGAAAUAAAACCUGUUAGGUGUCAGUGUCAUGAA